UUGCCUCAGUAACGGCGAGUGAAGCGGCAAGAGCUCAAAUUUGAAAUCUGGCCCCCUCGGGGUCCGAGUUGUAAUUUGCAGAGGAUGCUUCGGGUGCGGCCCCCGUCUAAGUGCCCUGGAACGGGCCGUCAUAGAGGGUGAGAAUCCCGUCUGGGACGGGGUGUCCGCGUCCGUGUGAAGCUCCUUCGACGAGUCGAGUUGUUUGGGAAUGCAGCUCUAAAUGGGUGGUAAAUUUCAUCUAAAGCUAAAUACUGGCCGGAGACCGAUAGCGCACAAGUAGAGUGAUCGAAAGAUGAAAAGCACUUUGAAAAGAGAGUUAAAAAGCACGUGAAAUUGUUGAAAGGGAAGCGCUUGCGACCAGACUCGCCCGCGGGGUUCAGCCGGCAUUCGUGCCGGUGUACUUCCCCGUGGGCGGGCCAGCGUCGGUUUGGGCGGCCGGUCAAAGGCCUCCGGAAUGUAGCACCCUUCGGGGUGCCUUAUAGCCGGGGGUGCAAUGCGGCCAGCCUGGACCGAGGAACGCGCUUCGGCACGGACGCUGGCAUAAUGGUCGUAAACGACCCGUCUUGAAACACGGACCAAGGAGUCUAACAUCUACGCGAGUGUUCGGGUGUCAAACCCGUGCGCGCAGUGAAAGCGAACGGAGGUGGGAGCCCCCCCGCGGGGCGCACCAUCGACCGAUCCUGAUGUCUUCGGAUGGAUUUGAGUAAGAGCGUAAAUGUGGGGACCCGAAAGAUGGUGAACUAUGCCUGAAUAGGGCGAAGCCAGAGGAAACUCUGGUGGAGGCUCGCAGCGGUUCUGACGUGCAAAUCGAUCGUCAAAUUUGGGUAUAGGGGCGAAAGACUAAUCGAAACCAUCUGGUAGCUGGAUACAUGCGAGU
RNAcentral lists this ribosomal RNA (877 nucleotides) under Aspergillus ochraceus. RNAcentral's name for it is "LSU rRNA". It matches the Rfam family "Eukaryotic large subunit ribosomal RNA", at positions 75 to 966 of the family's 3401-position model. Lineage: Eukaryota; Fungi; Ascomycota; Eurotiomycetes; Eurotiales; Aspergillaceae. The record is from RNAcentral.